RNAcentral lists this unclassified non-coding RNA (380 nucleotides) under uncultured Gemmatimonadaceae bacterium. RNAcentral describes it as "contains 16S-23S intergenic spacer region". Lineage: Bacteria; Pseudomonadati; Gemmatimonadota; Gemmatimonadia; Gemmatimonadales; Gemmatimonadaceae. The record is from RNAcentral.
UCCGGUUUGGCACCGGCAGUCCUCCCAGAGUCCCCGCCAUAACGCGCUGGCAACUGGGAGCGGGGGUUGCGCUCGUUGCGGGACUUAACCCAACAUCUCACGACACGAGCUGACGACAGCCAUGCAGCACCUGUGCUGGAGUCCCGAAGGAGGCCUCUGGUUUCUCAGAAGUUUCCCCAGCAUGUCAAGCCUAGGUAAGGUUCUUCGCGUUGCGUCGAAUUGAACCACAUGCUCCACCGCUUGUGCGGGCCCCCGUCAAUUCCUUUGAGUUUCAGCCUUGCGGCCGUACUCCCCAGGCGGGGCACUUCAUGCGUUAGCGCCGGCACUCAGAGGGUCGCUCCCCCAAGCACCUAGUGCCCAUCGUUUACGGCGUGGACUAC